CCUACGGGAGGCAGCAGUGGGGAAUAUUGGGCAAUGGAGGAAACUCUGACCCAGCAACGCCGCGUGAAUGAUGAAGGUCUUCGGAUUGUAAAGUUCUUUUCUAAGGGAAGAAGAAAGUGACGGUACCUUAGGAAUAAGCCUCGGCUAACUACGUGCCAGCAGCCGCGGUAAUACGUAGGAGGCAAGCGUUAUCCGGAAUGACUGGGCGUAAAGGGUGCGUAGGUGGUUCAGCAAGUUAGUAGCGUAAUUCCGGAGCUCAACUUCGGCACUACUACUAAAACUGUUGGACUUGAGUGCAGGAGGGGCAACUGGAAUUUCUAGUGUAGCGGUGAAAUGCUUAGAUAUGACGAAGAACCCCGAUUGCGAAGGCAGCUUGCUGCAGCGGAACUGACGCUGAUGCUCGAAAGCGCGGGUAUCGAACAGGAUUAGAUACCCGGGUAGUC
This 443-nucleotide ribosomal RNA is filed under the name uncultured bacterium. Its description in RNAcentral is "partial 16S ribosomal RNA". It matches the Rfam family "Bacterial small subunit ribosomal RNA", at positions 338 to 795 of the family's 1533-position model. The record is from RNAcentral.